This 206-nucleotide unclassified non-coding RNA is filed under the name plant metagenome. RNAcentral describes it as "partial contains small subunit ribosomal RNA, internal transcribed spacer 1, and 5.8S ribosomal RNA". The record is from RNAcentral.
UUUCCGUAGGUGAACCUGCGGAAGGAUCAUUCAUAAUAAGUGUUUUACUGCACUUUUUAAAAAUAAUACUCACCUUGUGUGCAAUGGUGUGUUUUUUUUCGGAGAAACACCUCCACCAUCCUAUAACCUUGAACCACUUUGUCUGAAAAACUAUUAUGAAUCCUUAAUUCAAAAUACAACUUUCAACAACGGAUCUCUUGGCUCUC